AUGUGCAGCCAUGUCACCCUGCAACUUUCAAUUGGCAACCCACUGAAGCUAAGCGGGUGUGAGCCUGGUCAGUACCUGGAUGGGAGACCUCCUGGGAAAAACUAAGGUUGCUGCUGGAA
Molecule: ribosomal RNA, 119 nt
Filed under: Lepisosteus oculatus (spotted gar)
Lineage: Eukaryota; Metazoa; Chordata; Actinopteri; Semionotiformes; Lepisosteidae
Source: RNAcentral